This 546-nucleotide ribosomal RNA is filed under the name bacterium enrichment culture clone Cont3_3130. Its description in RNAcentral is "bacterial SSU rRNA". It matches the Rfam family "Bacterial small subunit ribosomal RNA", at positions 8 to 525 of the family's 1533-position model. The record is from RNAcentral.
AGAGUUUGAUCCUGGCUCAGAAUGAACGCUGGCGGCGUGCUUAACACAUGCAAAGUCGAACGAGAAAAGUUUCCUUCGGGGAAGCGAGUAGAGUGGCGCACGGGUGAGUAACACGUGGGUAAUCUACCCCUCAAUUUGGGAUAACAUUGCGAAAGYGAUGCUAAUACCGAAUAACAUCCAUAAUACUUUGGUAUAGUGGACCAAAGGUGGCCAAUCCUUGGAAGCUACUGUUGGGGGAUGAGCCUGCGUACCAUUAGCUAGUUGGUAGGGUAAUGGCCUACCAAGGCGACGAUGGUUAGCUGGUCUGAGAGGAUGAUCAGCCACACUGGAACUGGAACACGGACCAGACUCCUACGGGAGGCAGCAGUGAGGAAUAUUGCGCAAUGGGGGCAACCCUGACGCAGCGACGCCGCGUGGAUGAUGAAGGCCCUUGGGUCGUAAAAUCCUGUCAGAUGGAAAGAAAUGUACAGGUGUUAAUAUCGCCUGUAUUUGACGGUACCAUCAAAGGAAGCACCGGCUAACUCCGUGCCAGCCGCCGCGGUAAUA